UUUCCAUAAUCGAUUAUUGUAGUGAAAAUACAAGUGAUAAUCGAUUAUUGCUUGUCCAUAAUCGAUUAUUGCAGUAGAAAAUACAAUGUUUACAAUUUAUUUAAGACUUUCCUACUACAUUAAUUUNUACAAAUUGCUUUUAAAUAAUUCUAAAGUUCUCUUCAAAUAAAACUUCUUGCAGCAUCAUCAAAACAAUUUUCUUCAAGAUUUAUCAAUACUCCUUUUUGGUAACAAUCUCCCCCUUUUUGAUGAUGAUCAAAAAUUCAAUUUUAAAAGCAACUUUGGCUUACCUGCAAAACAUACAAGCUAACAGAUAGCAACAAAGUUAACAAUACCUGAUACUUCUCCCCUUAUAGUAUUCUUCUCCCCCUUUUUGAUCAUAAGCAAAAAGAUCAAUAUAAAAAAUCUCCCCCUAAAUAUGAUCUCCCCCUCAAUUAAACAAUGUAUGCAUAAAGACAAGAGAUCAUUUUACUCAUAAAAGGAAUGAUUACAUUAAUAUCAUAAGGAGAAACAUAAAUGACAACAAUAUACCAUAGAAUUAAAAACAACAAUUAAUCAACAAAGCACACAAACAUAAAAUCCUAAUUCUAAAAUUCAUGGGGAUCUCUCGGGUGGUUGAAGGUUGAGGUGAUUUUCAAUAUUUCCUAGAUAAACAUCAAUGUCAAGAAUUUGAUCAACCAUAUAAAUUUCAUGAGCUUGCUGCCAUUCAUAAAUUUGAUCAAAGUGAGGUUUCAGCGCAAAACUCAUAUCUUCCAGUUAUCACAAAAGUUCUCAAUUAAAAGCUUCACUCCCUCAUUUCAAAAAAAUCAACUAAAGUUUAUGCUCCCCAUAAAAUAGGUAAAUUAAAAAGGAUUUAAGUCCUUGAAAAGUAC
RNAcentral lists this long non-coding RNA (872 nucleotides) under Vigna radiata. RNAcentral's name for it is "long non-coding RNA (VRAD_LNC015855)". Lineage: Eukaryota; Viridiplantae; Streptophyta; Magnoliopsida; Fabales; Fabaceae. The record is from RNAcentral.